Long non-coding RNA from Lontra canadensis (Northern American river otter), 88 nucleotides. RefSeq lists it as uncharacterized. The transcript is spliced from 3 exons. The record is from RefSeq and is a predicted model, not a curated record. Lineage: Eukaryota; Metazoa; Chordata; Mammalia; Carnivora; Mustelidae.
ACUGAGCCACCCAGGCGCCCCUUCAAGUUUUGCAAUCCAAAUUAUUUCCAGUGGGUUAAAAGGCACCCCAAGGUAGAGUCCUUGGGAA